This 502-nucleotide ribosomal RNA is filed under the name uncultured Acidobacteriaceae bacterium. Its description in RNAcentral is "bacterial SSU rRNA". It matches the Rfam family "Bacterial small subunit ribosomal RNA", at positions 8 to 488 of the family's 1533-position model. Lineage: Bacteria; Pseudomonadati; Acidobacteriota; Terriglobia; Terriglobales; Acidobacteriaceae. The record is from RNAcentral.
AGAGUUUGAUCAUGGCUCAGAAUCAACGCUGGCGGCGUGCCUAACACAUGCAAGUCGGACGCGAAAGCCCUUUCGGGGGUAAGUAGAGUGGCGUCCGGGUGAGUAACACGUAGGUAAUCUACCUUCGGGUGGGGAAUAACUCGCCGAAAGGCGAGCUAAUACCGCAUAAUGCAGCGGCACCUAAUGGUGAUUAGUUGUUAAAGCGGGGGAUCGCAAGACCUCGCGCCUGAAGAGGAGCCUGCGGCAGAUUAGCUAGUUGGUGAGGUAAUGGCUCACCAAGGCUUCGAUCUGUAGCUGGUCUGAGAGGACGGCCAGCCACACUGGCACUGACACACGGGCCAGACUCCUACGGGAGGCAGCAGUGGGGAAUUUUGGGCAAUGGGCGCAAGCCUGACCCAGCAACGCCGCGUGAGGGAGGAAAUCCUUCGGGAUGUAAACCUCACAAGCAAGGGAAGAGAGCUCAGGGCCGAAUAAGUCCUGAGUCCGACGGUACCUGCGUAGC